RNAcentral lists this ribosomal RNA (807 nucleotides) under uncultured bacterium. RNAcentral describes it as "bacterial SSU rRNA". It matches the Rfam family "Bacterial small subunit ribosomal RNA", at positions 8 to 797 of the family's 1533-position model. The record is from RNAcentral.
AGAGUUUGAUCAUGGCUCAGGACGAACGCUGGCGGCAUGCCUAAUACAUGCAAGUCGAGCGAACAGAUGAAGUGCUUGCACUUCUGACGUUAGCGGCGAACGGGUGAGUAACACGUAAGGAAUCUACCUAUAAGCGGGGGAUAACAUUCGGAAACGGGUGCUAAUACCGCAUAAUAUCUUCUUCCGCAUGGAAGAAGAUUGAAAGACGGCUCUGCUGUCACUUAUAGAUGACCUUGCGGUGCAUUAGUUAGUUGGUGGGGUAACGGCCUACCAAGACGAUGAUGCAUAGCCGACCUGAGAGGGUGAUCGGCCACAUUGGGACUGAGACACGGCCCAAACUCCUACGGGAGGCAGCAGUAGGGAAUCUUCCGCAAUGGGCGAAAGCCUGACGGAGCAAUGCCGCGUGAGUGAAGAAGGCCUUCGGGUCGUAAAACUCUGUUAUAAGAGAAGAACAAAUUGUAGAGUAACUGCUACAGUCUUGACGGUAUCUUAUCAGAAAGCCACGGCUAACUACGUGCCAGCAGCCGCGGUAAUACGUAGGUGGCAAGCGUUGUCCGGAUUUAUUGGGCGUAAAGGGAGCGCAGGUGGUUUCUUAAGUCUGAUGUGAAAGCCCACGGCUUAACCGUGGAGGGUCAUUGGAAACUGGGGAACUUGAGUACAGAAGAGGAAUGUGGAACUCCAUGUGUAGCGGUGGAAUGCGUAGAUAUAUGGAAGAACACCAGUGGCGAAGGCGACAUUCUGGUCUGUUACUGACACUGAGGCUCGAAAGCGUGGGGAGCAAACAGGAUUAGAUACCCUGGUAGUCCC